RNAcentral lists this ribosomal RNA (293 nucleotides) under uncultured bacterium. RNAcentral describes it as "partial 16S ribosomal RNA". The record is from RNAcentral.
GGACUACACGGGUAUCUAAUCCUGUUUGCUCCCCACGCUUUCGCCCAUCAGCGUCAGUACUGGCCCAGAGUGCCGCCUUCGCCACCGGUGUUCUUCCUGAUAUCUAUGCAUUUCACCGCUACACCAGGAGUUCCGCACUCCCCUACCAGACUCAAGCCAUAGCAGUAUCGGGUGGCGUCCCCAGGUUGAGCCUGGGGUUUUCACACCCGACUUACCAAGCCGCCUACGGGCCCUUUACGCCCAAUAAAUCCGGACAACGCUCGGACCCUACGUGUUACCGCGGCUGCUGGCAC